UUACAUUUGAAACAAAUAUGAGAGCAUCCCUAACAGCACAGCUGAGACCUUUGUUUUAAUCAAGCCUUUGUAUCGACACACUUGUAAAGAUUCAUAUACAAAACAUAAUAGAAUAAAUCAAUAUAAAAUACACAUAAUCACAAAAAUGCAGCCAUGUUGUGAGUUUGCAUCUAAAACAUGCAUGUUUCCCUUUGUACAGGCAGAUUUACAGCAGACAAAGCAACACGCUGAUCGACUUUGACCGCUGCAAAAACAAAAUACCCACCAAGUCUGAAGUCGAUCAGAGGAACUGUUGACAGACUGACAGACAAACAGAUGCUUGAUUCAUUAGUGCGAUUAAAUGUUCUUCUUUAGCAGCAUCACUUCAUGUGUUUGUGUUCCAGGAAUAAAGGUCUGUUUAAACUGGACGUCUCCUCAGCAUCACUCGUGCUGUCAUGGUUUCAAAGCUGUGCAGAAAGAAUCUGAGGGAUGAUACAGAGGUGACCAAAGUUACAAACAUCCAGCUGUGCUGCAAAUGUUUGCAGAGCUCCAAACUCUUUGGCUUUCUGCAGAGCAAGUAUGGAAGAAGCACCUGAGCUAACUUCAGUUUAGACGAUAUGAGGAAAAAUGCUGCUUCCCAAAGUUUCCUACAAGUAUCCAGUUUAUAUUUAGAGAAGCGAAGGCUCUUUAUCCUGACAACUACUCCCUGGUGGAUCCCUGUCCUGUGACAGCAGCAAAGACUGUGUAUCAGUAUCAUCAAAGCCACUUCAAUAACCAGUGUUUAAAGCUCUCUAGCAGAUGGACUUCAGUGGCAGCAGCCUCUGUCUGCUGUGUACAGAAGGUUCUCUGAUGAAGCACACAGCAGAUGCUGCACUACAACAGCAGCAGCAGCUCAGCUUCAGUUUGCUUCGACGCCCUUUUUGACCUGUGAAACAGCAGAAAAUGAAACAUUUCAACACCCGUUUGUUAGCGUGAGCUAUUCUGCUGUUUUUCAUCAUUUCACAGGUGAAAUAAAAUCACAUUUACUUCCUGUAGGAGUGAUCGUGUCCAGCCUGACUGAGACCAUGUGCUCCAUCCUGCACAGAAAAUGUCACAUGUUCAAAGCCAUCCCAGCACCUGGGGUUUGUAUAAGUGCAGCUGCUGGUGGGGAGAUAGUCUCACUCUUCUAUAUAAAGAGUCAGCAGGCAGCAGAUCUUCAUCUGUGAUCUCCUCCAUCAUCACGUCUUCACUCUUCAGCAGCUAUGGCUUCACUUCGUGCCCUUCUGGGAGUGGUGCUGUGCUCCUCAUGGUUUCUGCUUCUGCCUCAGGCCGACUUUGAUUUACAGAGUCAUCCAUAAUAUUUUUUAUUUUUUAUUUUACUGCCCAUCUAUUUUCAUACAAAUGUCUCCGUCUUAUGGAAAAGGGGUGGAGCUUAUCCAACGAGGACAGGCAGGGCCCCCCCAGACAGUUUAGCAGUCUAUACAGGAGGCUGACCUUUGCAACAUGUACUUCUAUAAUGACUUCACCAUUUAGGUUAUUUGGUUAUGUUUCACCCUGGAUUUUGUGUGAUAAUAUUUAUUUUGUCCACUGAUUUAAAAACAACAA
Non-coding RNA from Maylandia zebra (zebra mbuna), 1563 nucleotides. The record is from RefSeq and is a predicted model, not a curated record. NCBI's taxonomy places the organism in Eukaryota, Metazoa, Chordata, Actinopteri, Cichliformes, Cichlidae.